GAAUGGAAUGAAAGGUUUUUCGUGGGGCUCCCGCUUGCCAACAUCGAUUCCGAGCUUCACAGUUACAAUUCUGAGAAAAAAAUAGUAACGCCCAUUCCUGAACAUAGGUUGUGAUUGCGCCCUUCAGCAUAACCGCCUUAUGUCAAAUCAUAAAUCUAAUUGCGCCCCCCUACCGAGUCCAAUUGGAAAACCAUCUGUCAAAUUCGCCUCUUUGUUUUCCUUUUUGCUGGAAACAGUUUCAAUUGCGCCCUUCUGCACAAAACAGUUUUGCGGUACAUUUUCCAAAGGAAAACUAUUAGCUUUUGUGAAAAAUCAAUAUUAUGCGCUGGUAAAAUCACCUCGUCGUCCUCAGCAGCAGGAACAGCCCGCUUGGACAGGCUAGCUGUUGUCAGGAGAAGCCGAAGCCAGGCAUAUAGAAUUCCUUCUAGGAAUCGUAUUGGGCCAGAGGAUGAAGCGUCUUUGCAUAUACUUUCGUCUGUAUGGGAAGGUGUCGGAUCACCUGCGUCAGAAAUUCAGACGGGGGCAACUUUUUAAACCCCAUAGCGGCGAAGGUAUGUUACGAUUUUUAUUACUAUUUUGUUUAUUUGGUGUAGUGUGAUGAGCAGUGAACAGAAUAAAGGACUACGUUCACCGCACUAUGUGUUAUCUAGCAAGGCUAAGUGCGAUUUAUGUACCAAAGUAUUCCAUCAUAAUUCGUCGCACGAUACCAUGUUUUCUACCUCUCAGUUUAGGGUAAAUAAUGCAAGCGCCUUGAAUUAACACUCAUAGUAACUGAUGGCAAAAAAAUAAGAUACAAUUUAUUUAACAAUCUUUGACCAUAAGCUCAUAUUUCAUCAAGAGCCCUGAAUUGAAAAGAGAAUUCAAAUUAGCCCUUUUGUCAUCGUUGUUUUGUGUGGGAGGAAAUGGGCGAAAUUGCACGC
Long non-coding RNA from Aedes aegypti (yellow fever mosquito), 920 nucleotides. RefSeq lists it as uncharacterized. The transcript is spliced from 2 exons. The record is from RefSeq and is a predicted model, not a curated record. NCBI's taxonomy places the organism in Eukaryota, Metazoa, Arthropoda, Insecta, Diptera, Culicidae.